This 3321-nucleotide long non-coding RNA is filed under the name Numida meleagris (helmeted guineafowl). Its description in RNAcentral is "lncRNA (ENSNMEG00000007567.1)". The record is from RNAcentral. Lineage: Eukaryota; Metazoa; Chordata; Aves; Galliformes; Numididae.
ACAAGGAUGGCAUGGGAAAUGGGUACUCUUGUUGCUUAGCCUGCCCUUUGACUAGAACACUGCAAUCUACAGCAGUAUCAACCUGGUACCUUUUACCCCUGCUGACCGCUCACAUUCACCAAGAUAUAUAUGCUUAUUACUAAACACUUAUUGGUCUAUCCGUGUGCUUUCAGUUUGGCAUAAUUUCCUCAAAUGCAAUGCUCACUACAAAUAUACAGUAGGAGAGAAAAGAUCUGGACCAGUAUAAACCCAGGAGGCAAACUGAUGCACACUAAUCCUAGCCUUCAUGUUUCCUCUUCCCUACUAAAAAGUUAUUGAAAGCACAGGGUUCAAUAAGUUGCCUGUGACCCACACAUUGCUCAAUAUUUCACUCUGAGAUCAUGUCCACAAAAUGAGCAUGAAGGGAAAAAAAAUAGAGAAAUAAAAGGAGAGGAAUUCUACAACCUCCUGCAUUCAUCCAAAUCUUUGUCAGCAUCUCCAAAGCAAAGAGGUUGUUAAACAGGGAUCUAAACUGCUAGUAAAUGGAGUUGGAGGAAAAUUGAGGAUCGUCAGUCCCACCUUUGGACAAUGUUCUGCAGGCUUCUGUGGUAGUAUGGAGAGUUCAGGAGAAAUGUCUGAGAAGCUAAAGAAGAGGGAAACCACAGCCUAUUCAGUGAGCCAGUGGAAGGAUUUAUUACUCCAUUGUAUAUGCUGCUUGACAUGCUGCCAGCCUGUGACCUUCUGCAAGGCGGUCUCAGGGCCAGCAGUGUAAAGGACGAGAUAGAUCUUCCUCCCACUGUCAUCACAAGCUGAGAGAAGAGAUGCUAACAGCCUCCUGUGUACUGCAGUGGAAGGCAGCUGGCACAGAAAGCGUGGAACCACAGGAAAAGGAAAUCCAUUCAUCACAAUUCUGGAAUGCUGGAAAACUCACUGAGGAACUACAAAGGGCAGGUAAAGCAAAAGCAUUUAAAAUAGUUGCAGAUGAGCUGAUAAGCGGCUCAAAGAAACAGUUAAAUUUGUGUGCAGAUAACUUAACCACAGUAUCUGGAAUGUAUAAACAUAGCACUUUUUUUUUUUUUUCUGGCCUUAAAAUUUGAUCCAAGUCUGGGAGUUAAGAAGUCCCAUUUUGUGUAAUCAGGUUCUGGUUGAACAUGAUUGCUGAAUUAUUUUAAAUUGAAGACACAUGUCUGGAUGUUGAGUUCUGUAUAUUAUUCCAGGAUGGUGUCCAUUAGGUCUUAUCCACAGGGGCUAUCUUCAUUCCUUAUGCAUCAGGAUUAGCAAAUGGUGAAUCAUGAAUAUGGAGGCAGUGAAUAGAAUGUGGUACUAGUUAAAUGGUGAUUUUGGAAAUUAUCUUGCAUGCAUUAUUCAAAACUUUUCAGUCUCUCCUGCAUAGAGUCCCUAAGGCUGUUUCAAAGUGUUAUUUUAAAGCACACUUGUACAAGGCAUUUGCAUUCUUUCAUUUUGAAUCUUGAGUUUAGCAACGAACCAACAUUUGCUUUAACCCCUUGUCAGUCCUAAAGCAUUCUCAAGAGUAUGAGUUGCUCAUCUAAUGGUUGCACUGCCAUAUGCUGUCCUUCUAUAAUAGAUCUGCCCCUGACCUCUGUGUUUUUACAUUGCUUUUUUUACUGGCAGAUGGACCAUUACAUGAAUUGAAACAUAUUUUAAUGGAUACUCCCAGUGGUGAGAGAAUAUUGUCUCAUUAGCUCCAUGGGGAAAACAGUGUAAACCCAAAGCUGAGUAGCUCACCUAUCCAUAUGGUGGGUGAAAAGAGGUGUCCUUACAGCAUAUGCUACAGGCAACGAUGCCUCCUGAAUUGCUAGAAGAUCAAACUUCUGAGGUGUGACAAGGAGACGAUGAACAAAGAGUUUGUCUUUUUCCUGUCUGGGCUGUCCGAAUGCUUGUGUAGCUUUUAAAGACUGGGCUGGAUGCUCUUUGGGUGCCCUGCGGCCAUGUACCACAGAUCAGUCACCACAAGGUGCUCUGCCCUUAUCUUUUCCCCACACAGAGCUCCUGCGGGGAAGGUCUCUGAAAGUCUUUGUUCAUCAGAAUUUUUUUCAGUUAAAUGGAUCUUUUUUGGUUUUUUUUUGUUUGUUUGUUUCAAAUCAAAACAAAAUCGACAAAAAGAAGACUGUCACCAUCAUUUGCAUGUUUCUAUUUUCACAUGUUCGUAACAACCGUAACGGGAAUUUUAUCCAUCUUUUAAUCAAAACUGUUUGAGAAAUCACACCACCCAACUUCUUCACAAAGGAAAACACUCUUGUCAGUGUGUGGACGACUUGAUGACAGAGUCAACAGUGAUUCUGAUAUAACAUUUCAUGAAAAUUGAAAGACAUCCCAAAAGCCUGCAAAGAGGAAGUGGCCACAAAAUAUGAAUACCUAUGGCCCGUUCAAAAUGCAUUCCUCAGUUUUCAGCCUGGGAAAUGACAGAGUUCAUUGUGCAGAUGGGCUCUCUGAUUCCAUCCCAAUGGUAUCUCCAUACACCGCCUCUCUCCCUCCCUCUUAGGCAGGGUGAAUCUGCUGGGCUUUAAAUCUUUCUCAGCCAGGAGGAAUUCCGAAAGGAGGAAAACAGCUGGGAAACACAUAUCCAUGCCUCCUGCAAAGGUAUGUGCCUUAUAUAUUACUGCGAGGCACAACAUCAUUUUCCAAAAAUCUCUCACUCUCUUAAAUAACACACAAAGUAUUGUUCUGAGCUGAGCUAAGGUGGAGCUGGCAGUUGACAUGUCUGAGGUCAUUCGAUAAAUGGGUGUAAUGAAGUAGUCAUGGCUAAUAUGUGUUAUAAGCUUAAUAUGAACCUGAAAAUCCCACAGAGGAGAUAUUAUAUCUUUAAAAAAUGAUAGUACGGUAAUGAUUCUAAAUCCUGCAGCUUACAAUAGUGUUUAACUGUUUUGAGCCAUUAUCGUGAUAUUAUUUUAGGGAUUUUCAUUGCAAUAGAUAGUUACAUUAAAAUUACAUUUAAGUAGAGAGUUGCCAGACUUUGCUGAUGCUUUACUAAGAACCACACAGCAGACACUUGUGAAAGCACUUCCUCUUGCCACAUACAAAUGGAUGAUUUACAAUAUGGCUAGAGAUGACAGCUUUAAUUAAAUUUCUUUUGAGGAGCUCAUUCUGGCAGCUAACCUGUGCUGGAAAGAGUGUGACACUCACUUGCAUACUUAGGAUGAGAAUCCAGAAACAGUCUUUUUAGUGGUGUAUAUCUAAAAGCAAGUAAAUAUCAUCUUAUCUGUGCAAGUCAGGAAAAUGAGGCCCAAAGGUGUGAUGUGUCUUGUACGUCACUAAUGGCCUUAACCAUUGAAGUCACUGAGCUGUACUAUACUAUAAUAAAAAAAAAAAAAAAAAAAGACA